Molecule: long non-coding RNA, 436 nt
Filed under: Vigna radiata
Lineage: Eukaryota; Viridiplantae; Streptophyta; Magnoliopsida; Fabales; Fabaceae
Description: long non-coding RNA (VRAD_LNC015631)
Source: RNAcentral
UUCUCCUACAUCUACAUCAUUUAUGACACAAGGAAGAGUCAAAGCUCCUGAAUCCUCCAGUUUCUGCGGAUGGUUCUUCUUCCUGGGUUUAACCAACUGCUCCUGAUUUUCUUCAUAACCCAGAUCAAUUAACUUUCCCAGAUAGUAUUUGAUCUUCUCAUCAUAUUCAGAAGUUUGCGAAGAUGUUCUAGGAUUAAUGGGUACCUUAUUAAGAAUAUUACAGAGUGAUUCUUUAAUACCUUCCUUCUCUUUUUCUCUCUCUGCUUUCUUCUCUUCGCCUCUCUUAUGCUUAUUAUGCUUCUGAUCUCAAUUGUUUCCUCCUUUGGCUUCCUUUUUCUCCUUGUUAUAACAACUUUGCACUCCUCUUUUGGGUUGACUUCAGUGUUAGCUCGAAAUUGAUUUUUUUCCGUGGUUUCGACCCUCUUAGACAGCUGUC